UAGCACUACUANNNNNNGAGGCACUGCCUGCCCAGUGACACACGUUUAACGGCCGCGGUACCCUGACCGUGCAAAGGUAGCAUAAUCACUUGUUCUUUAAAUAGGGACUCGUAUGAAUGGCACCACGAGGGUUUAACUGUCUCUUACUUUCAACCAGUGAAAUUGACCUGUCCGUGAAGAGACGGACAUGAAACAAUAAGACGAGAAGACCCUGUGGAGCUUCAAUUUAUUAGUACAACUAAAAACCAUACAAACCAACAGGCCCUAAACCCCUACAUCUGUACUAAAAAUUUUGGUUGGGGCGACCUCGGAGCACAACCAAACCUCCGAAUAAUCCACGCUAAGACCGCACAAGUUUAAGCAAACUAACACUUACAAUUGACCCAAUAGUUUGAUCAACGGAACAAGUUACCCCAGGGAUAACAGCGCAAUUCUAUUCUAGAGUCCAUAUCAACAAUAGAGUUUACGACCUCGAUGUUGGAUCAGGACAUCCUAAUGGUGCAGCAGCUAUCAAGGGUUCGUUUGUUCAACG
RNAcentral lists this ribosomal RNA (532 nucleotides) under Allochrocebus lhoesti (L'Hoest's monkey). Its description in RNAcentral is "partial 16S ribosomal RNA". It matches the Rfam family "Bacterial large subunit ribosomal RNA", at positions 1831 to 2586 of the family's 2925-position model. Lineage: Eukaryota; Metazoa; Chordata; Mammalia; Primates; Cercopithecidae. The record is from RNAcentral.